GACGUAGGGCGCGAGCGUUGUCCGGAUUUAUUGGGCGUAAAGAGCUCGUAGGCGGUCUGUUGCGUCGGCUGUGAAAACCCGAGGCUCAACCUCGGGCCUGCAGCCGAUACGGGCAGACUAGAGUUCGGCAGGGGAGACUGGAAUUCCUGGUGUAGCGGUGAAAUGCGCAGAUAUCAGGAGGAACACCGGUGGCGAAGGCGGGUCUCUGGGCCGAUACUGACGCUGAGGAGCGAAAGCGUGGGGAGCGAACAGG
This 253-nucleotide ribosomal RNA is filed under the name uncultured bacterium. Its description in RNAcentral is "partial 16S ribosomal RNA". It matches the Rfam family "Bacterial small subunit ribosomal RNA", at positions 524 to 776 of the family's 1533-position model. The record is from RNAcentral.